Hordeum vulgare subsp. vulgare (domesticated barley) is the source of this 613-nucleotide long non-coding RNA. RefSeq lists it as uncharacterized. The record is from RefSeq and is a predicted model, not a curated record. NCBI's taxonomy places the organism in Eukaryota, Viridiplantae, Streptophyta, Magnoliopsida, Poales, Poaceae. The transcript has 4 exons.
UCCUCCGCAACAAGGCCACCAUUGGAUCCCCUCCUCUCCUCCGCUCCGCCCUCUCCAGUAGCUCUCCAUCGCCCUCGCGCCCCAGAUCCAAACCACCAGCAGUUCGAGGCGAAACCCUCGUGCUCAUCACCUCCAUCUCCACCACGGAGGGAAGGCGAAGCCGCUCAAGCAGGCCAAGGUCGCCGAGAAGGACUACAACGAGAUGCACGCUGAUGAUUUCCGGCAAGACCUGUAUGGUUUAGUCACAGCACUAAAAAAUGGUGGUUACUCAGAUGAUAUGACCCUUGCUGCAAUCGCUGGUCAACUUGAUCAAUCUUGACACCAACAUCAGGAAUCAUUCGAGCGGAAGUGUCACCAGCCCUUCGCCACUGCGAGAAUAUACAUUGUGCACACUCCUUUACAGUAGCUCGAGGCGUACUAAAUAGAAUGUAAAGAUUGUAAUAUUGUAAUGGUAGGCAUAUCUGGGUUGGAUUAAACAUGUACAGCUUGUAGUAGACUUUUUUACCAUUCUUGUUCUGUUUAAAAUAUUGAUUAUGUGAUUUGGAAACGUGUGAAUUGGAACUUGGCUGAUGGGACACAUUUAUGAAACUAAUUUGAGCAGUUUUAAAAUUUC